CACGCAGGCGGGAAGACAGGUCAGAUGUGAAACCCCAAGGCUUAACCAUGGGCCUGCAUCUGAAACCAUCUUUCUUGAGUAUCGGAGAGGAAAGCGGAACUCCUGGUGUAGCGGUGAAAUGCGUAGAUAUCAGGAGGAACACCGGUGGCGAAGGCGGCUUUCUGGCCGAAUACUGACGCUCAUGUACGAAGGCCGGGGGAGCAAACA
RNAcentral lists this ribosomal RNA (207 nucleotides) under uncultured bacterium. RNAcentral's name for it is "partial 16S ribosomal RNA". It matches the Rfam family "Bacterial small subunit ribosomal RNA", at positions 568 to 774 of the family's 1533-position model. The record is from RNAcentral.